Molecule: long non-coding RNA, 758 nt
Organism: Armigeres subalbatus
Lineage: Eukaryota; Metazoa; Arthropoda; Insecta; Diptera; Culicidae
Exons: 2
Source: RefSeq, a predicted model, not a curated record
CUGGUGAUUCGGUCAACGAAAAUUGUUUUAACAUUUUAUCCGGCAAAUUUUAAAUUGAUUUCGUUUGAUCCGGGAGAAUUUUUCACUUGUACUUUUGCAUUGGAUCUCGACGCCAUCUUUUCCGUUUGCAAUUGCAGUUUGCGUGCAGAAACGUGAUUCGGACGAAUAUCCAGCUGUAAUUCCGAUGGAAUAAUGGAGAUAUCUAGUGAAUGUCACGGAUCAGAUAUGCAGUAAUUAUUAAAAGAGAAACAAGGGACCGGUAGCUGAAUUUUCCGACUUAGGAACAACUUACCUCUUCGGAUAUGGCCGCUCAUACAAAUGGAUCGAAACGCGUCUCUUAUUCAUCGACGCCACCAAGACCUUGCUACGUGAAGUGCAUUCAACGUUUUUUUUACUCAAGUCAAGGGCCCUCCGGGAAGUAUCGUCGCGUGAAUGGCGUGGUGGUGGCCGCGACAGAACAAGAAUGUGUAGUAUAGCAGGAGCAUGCACGAAAAAACAAAGACUUCCCAUCAGCCGUAAUGAUACCGAAGAGUUCUGCAAACGUCCAUCUGAUCUAAAGCAACCCAACGGGAUUCCCAUUCCAUGCGAUGAUUACUUCUACCGCCAGUUCAAGUGCACGACAAUCGAAUUUGUAGCGGAGAAACUUCUACCUAGACAACGGAUAUGGUCAUGAUUUAAAUUAUAUUAUUUAUUUACAGAUUUGCAUAUAAUCAUAAUGUUUUCAUGUACUAUAUAAGAAAUAAAACAUUUUUUUUAUA